GUAUUUAUUAGAUAAAGAACCAAUAUUUUUGGUGACUCAUAAUAACUUUACGGAUCACAUUAUGUGACAUAUCAUUCAAGUUUCUGACCUAUCAGCUUUAGACGGUAGGGUAUUGGCCUACCGUGGCUAUGACGGGUAACGGGGAAUUAGGGUUCGAUUCCGGAGAGGGAGCCUGAGAAACGGCUACCACAUCUAAGGAAGGCAGCAGGCGCGCAAAUUACCCAAUCCUAAUACAGGGAGGUAGUGACAAGAAAUAACAAUACAGAACCUUACGGUUUUGUAAUUGGAAUGAGUUAAGUAUAAACCCCUUAACAAGUAUCAAUUGGAGGGCAAGUCUGGUGCCAGCAGCCGCGGUAAUUCCAGCUCCAAUAGCGUAUAUUAAAGUUGUUGCAGUUAAAAAGCUCGUAGUUAAUCUUCUGUUAAUUUUUAUAUAUAAUAUUUCGAUAUUUAUAUAAUAUUAACAUAAUUCAUAUUACUUUUUAGUAUAUGAAACUUUACUUUGAGAAAAUUAGAGUGCUUAAAGCAGGCUAUUGCCUUGAAUACUCCAGCAUGGAAUAAUAUUAAGGAUUUUUAUUCUUCUUAUUGGUUCUAGAAUAAAAAUGAUGAUUAAUAGGAACAGUUGGGGGCAUUUGUAUUUAACAGUCAGAGGUGAAAUUCUUAGAUUUGUUAAAGACAAACUACUGCGAAAGCAUUUGCCAAGGAUGUUUUCAUUAAUCAAGAACGAAAGUUAGGGGAUCGAAGACGAUCAGAUACCGUCGUAGUCUUAACCAUAAACUAUGCCAACUAGAGAUUGGAGGUUGUUCCUUACU
Molecule: ribosomal RNA, 809 nt
Filed under: Cryptosporidium xiaoi
Lineage: Eukaryota; Apicomplexa; Conoidasida; Eucoccidiorida; Cryptosporidiidae
Description: SSU rRNA
Rfam family: Eukaryotic small subunit ribosomal RNA
Source: RNAcentral